Molecule: ribosomal RNA, 372 nt
Filed under: uncultured organism
Description: bacterial SSU rRNA
Rfam family: Bacterial small subunit ribosomal RNA
Source: RNAcentral
GGGGGAGCAAGCGUUGUUCGGAUUUACUGGGCGUAAAGGGCGCGUAGGCGGCCUCCGCAAGUCAGUUGUGAAAUCUCCGAGCUUAACUCGGAAAGGUCAACUGAUACUGCGGGGCUAGAGUGCGGAAGGGGCAACUGGAAUUCUUGGUGUAGCGGUGAAAUGCGUAGAUAUCAAGAGGAACACCUGCGGCGAAGGCGGGUUGCUGGGCCGACACUGACGCUGAGGCGCGAAAGCUAGGGGAGCGAACGGGAUUAGAUACCCCGGUAGUCCUAGCCUUAAACGAUGAAUGCUUGGUGUCUGGGGUUAUAUAGUCCCCGGGUGCCGUCGCUAACGCUUUAAGCAUUCCGCCUGGGGAGUACGGUCGCAAGACUG